RNAcentral lists this ribosomal RNA (396 nucleotides) under uncultured bacterium. Its description in RNAcentral is "partial 16S ribosomal RNA". It matches the Rfam family "Bacterial small subunit ribosomal RNA", at positions 523 to 917 of the family's 1533-position model. The record is from RNAcentral.
AUACGUAGGUGACAAGCGUUAUCCGGAUUUACUGGGCGUAAAGGGCGUGUAGGCGGUCUUGCAAGUCAGAAGUGAAAUUCCUGAGCUCAACUCGGGCGCUGCUUCUGAAACUGCAGGACUUGAGUGCUGGAGGGGAUAGCGGAAUUCCUAGUGGAGCGGUAAAAUGCGCAGAUAUUAGGAAGAACACCGGUGGCGAAGGCGGUUAUCCGGGCAGUAACGUACUCUUAGGCCCAAAAGCGGGGGGAACAAACAGGAUUAGAUACCCUGGUAGUCCACGCCGUAAACGAUGAUUACUAGGUGUAGGGGGUAUCGACUCCCUCUGGGCCGCAGUUAACACAAUAAGUAUUCCGCCUGGGGAGUACGGCCGCAAGGUUGAAACUCCAAGGAAUUGACGGG